Long non-coding RNA from Camelina sativa (false flax), 676 nucleotides. RefSeq lists it as uncharacterized. The record is from RefSeq and is a predicted model, not a curated record. NCBI's taxonomy places the organism in Eukaryota, Viridiplantae, Streptophyta, Magnoliopsida, Brassicales, Brassicaceae.
AAUCAGCAAAGCUAAAAUUUUCGUCGUUAUAAAUUUCAAUCAGCAAAGCCAAAGGAUAUGUAUGUUAUCGCCGCUUCGAGAAAUGGGGAUUGGGUACUACCGCCUGCUCGAUCAGAUAGCUCUCAAGCGCUUUUGAUUGCUCUUACUGAACUCUCUGCUCCCCUGGAUAGUAAAGGCCGGGAUUCCUACCUUUGGCGUAACGCUGCAGGAUUAUAUCGCCCUGUUUCUCUGCCAAAGAGACAUGGGAGCAGCUAAGGAUUCAUUAUCCGGUCGUCCCUUGGGCUAAGGCUGUGUGGUUCAAAGAGCAUGUGCCAAGAUAUUCCUGCAUGGAUUCUCAAUCUCCGUCAACCGCAUGUCGCCAAGGCAAUCACCAUCAUCAAGCUUCUGUUUCAGACCGUGGUUUAUCACAUCUGGAAGGAACGAAAUGCCAGGAUCUUCUCAUCUGCCGAAUGCUCCGCCACAUAUCUCCGCCUCUCCAUUGAUCGUACGUUGCGAAGUCGCCUCCUCUCAUUUCCUGGGACUGUCUCGCAGCCAACCUCUCUCCUGGAAGUUUACUUUAGUCGUCUCUCUUAUCUCCUUUAGUAAAAUUUUAUGUUAGUUUUUCUCUUUGUUCUUGUGGUAAUGGGUUAUUUUUGUAAUCGGUAUCUAAAUAUGUAAACUCUAAUUUGAAAUGGAA